GCCCCGUUCGUCUAGCGGCCUAGGACGUCGCCCUCUCACGGCGGUAACACCGGUUCAAAUCCGGUACGGGGUAC
Molecule: transfer RNA, 74 nt
Filed under: Trueperella pyogenes
Lineage: Bacteria; Bacillati; Actinomycetota; Actinomycetes; Actinomycetales; Actinomycetaceae
Also listed under: 13 other names
Description: tRNA-Glu(ctc)
Rfam family: tRNA
About the family: Transfer RNA (tRNA) molecules are approximately 80 nucleotides in length. Their secondary structure includes four short double-helical elements and three loops (D, anti-codon, and T loops).
Source: RNAcentral